Long non-coding RNA from Adelges cooleyi (spruce gall adelgid), 814 nucleotides. RefSeq lists it as uncharacterized. The record is from RefSeq and is a predicted model, not a curated record. NCBI's taxonomy places the organism in Eukaryota, Metazoa, Arthropoda, Insecta, Hemiptera, Adelgidae. The transcript is spliced from 3 exons.
AUUGAUUCGUGGCGGGCCUCGUUUCUGCGAUCGGGCUCUAUAAACUUUUGUAUCAGCUCUCGUUAGACGGCUACCAUAGCUAUUAUAAUAUGAGCUGCAAUCACUUUUACACCAUCGUCGAUUUUAAACACACACACACAUACACGUUUAAGACACACGAAUGUAUUAUGGUUUCCACUAUAGAGACCCCGUAAGUACUUAACUCCGCGUAUAACUAGCUGCUGUUUCAGUCGAAUGUCGUAUAAUGUACACAAAUGGCGAUCUCAUGCAGCCUCAACUUUGUCCGUUUUCGAGAAAGAUCCGGCGUUCGUUUCUAAUGGCCGAGAAGUUUAACCUCAGCACGAGAUAGUGGGGUGCCGUUUUAAUUUAUGUCGGAGUAGCAGAAAGAAGACGUUCCAAGAACUUAACAUCGAAAUCAAACAUUUUUCAAAUCAAGUAGAAUCAAUAAUGGCUAAUGACUGCUUUGAACUAUGUUGUGUAGGUUUACACAAACUAUAUACAUAGAAUUCGGUGGAUUCAUCAGUCAUAAUACAAACCGACAUUGUGCUACAAUAAACGAUUAAUUAUCUAUCUUAAACGAUCACUCCAACCAACAUCGGAGAUUAAUAUGCAUUCAACAUAAGAACACCAAUUAUGAAUUGUGAAAAAUAUAUCGUGAGAUUUGAAAUUUAGACGUUAAGAAUUACUUAGUUUUUAGCUUAUGGAUAUGACGUGUAAAAAGAAAAAAAAACAAAAAAACUCUGGUAUGAACUGAUCGAACCAGCAUUUAAUUAUUUGCAUAGGCACCGUUGCAAAUUUUAUAAGAUUACAUUAU